CAAUAGCGUAUAUUAAAGUUGUUGCAGUUAAAACGCUCGUAGUUGAAUAUCUGUUAUCAUUGUUCGGUCCGCUUCGGUGUGUACCGUAACAAAUAUAACAUUCGUUUGCUUUGCUCCGCACUGCAAACCGUUUACUUUGAGGAAAUUAGAGUGUUCAAAGCAGGCUAGUGCCUUGAAUACUUCAGCAUGGAAUGAUUGAUAGGACUUCCGUUCUGUCAUUGGUUCUGGGAACGAGAAGUAAUGAUUAAGAGGGGCGGUCGGGGGCAUUCGUAUUGAACAGUCAGGGGGCAUUCGUAUUGAACAGUCAGAAGUGAAAUUCUUAGAUUUGUUCAAGACGAACUACUGCGAAAGCAUUUGCCAAGUACGUUCCCAUUAA
RNAcentral lists this ribosomal RNA (376 nucleotides) under uncultured eukaryote. RNAcentral describes it as "partial 18S ribosomal RNA". It matches the Rfam family "Eukaryotic small subunit ribosomal RNA", at positions 592 to 976 of the family's 1831-position model. The record is from RNAcentral.